CCAUGUUGGUUCCUGGAUGCACCGGCCCGUUAUCCUUCCACUGCAGAGAGGAGGAGGUUUUCGCUGCUCUGUGAAGCCAGCCUCACGCGGUGCC
Ipomoea nil (Japanese morning glory) is the source of this 94-nucleotide long non-coding RNA. RefSeq lists it as uncharacterized. Lineage: Eukaryota; Viridiplantae; Streptophyta; Magnoliopsida; Solanales; Convolvulaceae. The record is from RefSeq and is a predicted model, not a curated record. The transcript has 3 exons.